This 466-nucleotide long non-coding RNA is filed under the name Brassica napus (rape). Its description in RNAcentral is "long non-coding RNA (BNAP_LNC019848)". Lineage: Eukaryota; Viridiplantae; Streptophyta; Magnoliopsida; Brassicales; Brassicaceae. The record is from RNAcentral.
GAGGGUGAGAGAGUAAAAAUGUCAUUUUCGGGAAAAAAAAAGUUGAUAGCAUUUUCGUGAAUAUUAUGAACUUGUGGGGUGAAUAUGAUAAAAGAAAAAUCUAAGAAAAACAUGAUUUAGUUUUAAGCUUGACUUUGAAUUUUGAGUCAAUCUUGCAAAAAGCUCACUUUAAAAAAGGCAAGUCCAAAGUAAAAGAGUGGAGUGAGUUUUGUCUUGGAUUUUUGUAUCAGGAGUUAUUUAAUACUUCAUAAAAUGAGCAGGAAACAAAAGAUUGUUAAAAGGGCAGCAAAACUAGUACUUGUUGUACUAAAGCACUAGAGUGACUGAUUUGUCUUGGAUUUUUGUUACAAGAGUUAUUUGAUAGAAAAGCGUAAAAGUGUGUAAAGCAAACUAGACACUGGUGAAGUGAAGAGUGUAAAGAGCAAACUAGUAAUUGUUAAAAGAAAACCAAGUAGAGAUAAAAAAA